AUGGUGACAUCAAGCACAUGUAAUCUAUGUGGAUGUGCCGAUUCAUGGCGCCACUCACUUUUGGACUGUACAGUGGCCAGAUGUACGUGGGCAUUAUCGGAUGCAAAUGUGGCUGAACAUAUGAUUUUAUGCAGUGAUCCCUAGGCGAAAGAGUGGAUGUUCUUCAUGUAUGAUUCCUUGUCGCACGAUGAAUUUACGAGGAUGAUUGUCACAUUGUGGGCCAUCUGGACGGCGAGGCGAAAGGAGAGGGUGCAGCCAUCAUCAAUCCGACACACUAGAAGGAGCUGGAUUCCUCCCUCUUCGAAUCAUGCAAAGAUCAAUGUUGAUGGUGCUUUCUCGCGGAAUGGUAGUGUUGGAGCGGCAACAGCUUUCUGCAGGAACGAAUACGGAGAUUACUUGGGGGCAUCGGUCUUGGUGGUGCCUAAUAUGACUGAUCCGACUGCUCUGGAAGCACUGGCUUGCCGAGAAGGUCUGUCCCUAGCCGCAGAUCUUAAUCUCUCAAAUAUCCAUUUGGCCACUGAUUGCCAGGGACUGGUGGAAGAAAUCAAGAAUGGAUCCAGUGCAUUCCAUGGUGCGAUCAUUCAGGAAAUUCAAACUAGGAUGAUACCUUUUACAAGUUGCUUUUUGUCCUUUGAAAGUAGAAGUUGUAAUUAUGAGGCACAUAGCCUCGCAAAGCACGCCUCUUCUCUAGGAGCUGGUAGACAUAUUUGGUUCGAUCUUCUCUAUGAUCCAGUCAAUAUUCCUGUAAACAUUUUGCAACAGAGUUAA
This 768-nucleotide ribosomal RNA is filed under the name Triticum aestivum (bread wheat). Its description in RNAcentral is "partial small subunit ribosomal RNA". Lineage: Eukaryota; Viridiplantae; Streptophyta; Magnoliopsida; Poales; Poaceae. The record is from RNAcentral.